Gasterosteus aculeatus aculeatus (three-spined stickleback) is the source of this 5155-nucleotide long non-coding RNA. Lineage: Eukaryota; Metazoa; Chordata; Actinopteri; Perciformes; Gasterosteidae. The record is from Ensembl.
AAAUAUUCAUUAAAAUCCAGUUAGCGGCUGAUAAACAGACCCAUCCAAUAUUCCUCCCCUCGGUGUUCAACAAUGAGCAGCAAGACAUUUCACUGAUAAUAUCUGGAAUAAACAAAGGAUCGGAUGUACGGCUCCUGCUGUGCGAUGUGUCGUCACUUUUGCUGCAAGCCGAAGUUCUGCGGAAACAGACACACAAAGCGCCUCCUCAAGGUGUUGCGGUUGCUGUUGUUAAAAAUGGGAACAAACACGAAUAGGCGGAUGGGUCAGUAUGAGCGAUCAACUGAGACUCCCACCUGAUGAGAAGCAUUACUUACCAGAAGCCCGUAGGCCUGUAAGGCUAUAGGCCCGUAGGCCUGUAAGGCUAUAGGCCCGUAAGCCUGUAAGGCUAUAGGCCCGCAGGCCUGUAAGGCUAUAGGCCCGUAGGCCUGUAGGGCCGUAGGCCUGUAAGCCUAUAGGCCCGUAGGCCUGUAAGCCUAUAGGCCCGUAGGCCUGUAGGGCUAUAGGCCUGUAAGCCUGUAAGGCUAUAGGCCCGUAGGCCCGUAGGCCUGUAAGGCUGUAGGCCCGUAGGCCAGUAAGGAUGUAGGCCCGUAGGCCUGUAAGGCUGAAGGCCCGUAGGCCUGUAAGGCUGAAGGCCCGUAGGCCUGUAAGGCUGUAGGCCCGUAGGGCUGUAAGGCUGAAGGCCCGUAGGGCUGUAAGGCUGAAGGCCCGUAGGCCUGUAAGGCUGUAGGCCCGUAGGGCUGUAAGGCUGUAGGCCCGUAGGGCUAUAGGCCUGUAAGGCUGUAGGGCUGUAGACCUGUAAGCCCGUAGGCCUGUAGGGCUGUAAGCAUGUAAGCCCGUAGACCUGUAGGGCUGUAAGCCCAUAAGCAUGUAAGCCUGUAGGCCUGUAGGGCUGUAAGUCUGUUAGCAUGUAAGCCCGUAGGCCUGUAAGCUCGUAGGCCCGUAGGGCUGUGGGCCUGUGGGCCUGUAGGGCUGUGGGCCUGUGGGCCUGUAGGGCUGUGGGCCUGUGGGCCUGUAGGGCUGUAAUCCUGUGGGCCUGUAGGGCUGUAGGGCUGUAAGCCUGUUAGCAUGUAAGCCCGUAGGGCUGUAAGCAUGUGGGCCUGUGGGCCUGUAGGGCUGUAGGCCUGGGGGAGAUAAUAAACACACUCUCGUAAUAUUCGUAGCUUUGAGUAGCUUUGAAAAUGUUCCUAUUUUGAGUAAUGUUUUCACGCGACUUCACAUGAAUCUUUCCAAAAACAUCCAUCUAUGUGAUGAAGGAAAGCUUGCUUGGGUUCGGCUGACCUCAGGACGCAGCUUACGAUCAAUCAUUUUAACAAGGCAAACGCAUCGAGGGUCAGGUUAUUAAUAUCAUUACUCGACCAUGAUUGUCAGCUGGCCGCGUUGAAGGUCCCGUGGAACGAGCGUAUAACGCCUUCACAAGAAUAGCACGGAGAUCAGUUUCCCCUCGUUACACAAGUGGUUCAAGGACAACAGGACGCUUCUUAUAAUAAUGUUCCUGCGAGUGACUCUACUCCCCCUUCGGGAGGAAAUUACAUGUUGUGUGUCAAGCUGAGGCAGAGAAAUACGCUCCGAUUGUCGAGCAAUGCACUGAAUCUUCGACUAUCUCCGAGGAAUGCUAAUCACACUUCUAUUGGAUUUAUUCCGUGACGCCUGCCAUUAAUCCUCGCCGCGUUCCUUGGCGGUGGAAUUGCGGCACUCUUUUGAACGUAAUUAACUCCCGCGAUCGCUUUUGAACCGCGCCGCAUCGAGCGCUCUGAUCGAGAGGAAUUACACCGGGCUGCAGCGAGUAUUUAAUGGACCCACCGAGUGUCAAUUAAUGCAGAGGAGCUUUUCAUGCCACUUUCUUUUCAUGUCCAGUAGCCCAGGUUUUUUUUUAAUUUUUUUUAUCAAAAAGCACUUAUCCCCAGUCGAAACGAAACGGACAGCCUUCAGAGGCGUCACAAUGAGCGCGGCCCCUGUUGUUAUUAGCUCGGGGAGUGCGAGACCUUCGUCCCUGUAGACCUCACUCCCUCUGGUGUGAAUUCACUGCCCGAGGGAAGGAUUUGUGGAGACAAGAACAAGUGGUGCUAUUCCAGCAGGUCCGACCAACGCGGGGAUUCUGGCCUCGGACAACCAAGAGCCAAAUAUCUCUCAAUGCUGAGGCGAUUCGUAAAAACUACUCCGAGGUCUUGAAACGGCCUCGAUUUAACGCCGAUGCCUCAACGUGAUCAAGAUAAUUAAGAUUAGUUGAGUCACACGACAUUCAUCCGCCUCCACUUCCUCCCUGGAGGUUUUCACUUGGCGGCGAGAAUGUUCCACGAGUACCGGCGGUGUGGAGACGCUGCUGCAGGUGGAAUAUGCCUGAGAAAUAUUAUAAAAUCUAUAUUUUUAAGUUCGAGUGGCUGUGAAGAGAAGCAGGUUCCUUCUACAGUCCCCAGCAGGAAUAAAACAUUAGUAGACACUUAAACUGAUUUUAGAGACUUUUUUUAGAGGUCUAAAAUAAACCCUCUGAUACUCCAAUUUGACCAAACUGGAAACAUCCAGUAUAAGUAACGCACUUACUGUGUGUAAGUAUCUCACACCCCCUAAAAACCAGAAAACCACAUCUAUAAAAUGUAUGAAAUGAACGGGGCUCAUCAAGGGGCUGAAUUAAAGGCACAUUGUGUAGUGCGUAAUGCUUCUGUGCCCCACCAAAUACAAAAUGUUUAGUUUUUGAAUUUGUGGUGCCGCUUAAAAGUUUUUUUUUAGAUUGAGGGGCAUUUGCUUCUGCAGCUUCUACUCUGGCCACAAGCGUUCGAGCAGUUUUGCAUUUAAAAAUAAAAUAUAAAUUAAGUAUUCAACAAAUCACUCUUCCAGAGUUUGCCCAGCCGCUAAUCACACAGCGUGGUGGGCAUCUCGAGUAAUUGAUGCAUAGCUAAUGACUUGGUGAUUAAUGGCCUCACUCUCGACUCGCGUGAAAUGUGACUGAUCGAGAGAUGGGGAAGGCGGGGGCGUGGUGUGUGUGGGCUGGAAAACAAAGACCCCGCGAUGUUCUGCGCCGCGUUGGAGGCCGCGGAGCGCCGUGCAGCCGUCACUCAAAUUAAAGCUCAAAUCUAAUUAGAGAAGAAAAGCACAGUGCUGCGAGAGUUAAUAAGUGAUGGGUGUUAAUUAGGUUUAUCCAGGCAUAUGGAGAUUCGCUCUUUGGAUUGGUGAUAGGUGGGGAUGGGGGGGGGUUUGCUUCGCUGGCUCUCAUUGGCCGCGAGGCUGCGGUCACGGCAGGGGGUCGGAAUCUCUGUCCUCCGUUUAGAUGAGUGAGAAUCAGUGAAGGUAAAGGUCACAGUUUUGUUCCGGUUUCACCUUCCAGCCAACAAGUGGCGGCCGAGAGCAGGAAGGACCCGAUCACCGCGUUCCCUCCUCCCUACGACAGCCACACAAAAGCAGCCAUUAGACACCAGGACGCCAGGCGAGCCGAUGGAGGCGACCCGCAGCUGCGUCUGAGGAAGCCCCCGAUGUGAGGAAGGGCGGUCGCGUGGCGCCAUUAUCCCACGCUGUGUGACAAGCAAAGACAGACGGGCCCCGGGGGGGACCGGCGAAGCGCCGCCACCCCCACUCCUCUCCCCGGGGGGGACCAUCGGUGGAUGCAGCGUCGUGCUGCAGGGCCGGGCUAAUAUUAGCCGCAGAUGAGGAGGCCUGCAGAGCGAGGACAUUUGGCGUCGAGCGGAGACGUCGAGGGAACCUCGAGUCCAGCUUUGUUCCGCCCAAAGAUUUAGUCAUAAAAUCAGCAUUGUAACAACAACAUUCAUUAAUCGCGAUUAAUCGCAAUUAAUGAAUUUCAGAAUGCGAUUGAUUAGUUAAUUAUUUUUUAAUCUACCCCAGUAGUGUUCUAUUAGAAUCUAGUGAAGCAAUCUGCCUGAUGAUCACACACACAGUGUAGCUCACACGAUUCCUGUAUGCAGCUCAGUGGGCGAUGAUAUCACGUUGGCUCGGGGACGGGGAUGAUGUUCACACCUAACGUGCUCUCCAUCGGCUCAAACGCUCAGCAGAAUUCUGGCGAUUGAGACCAUAAACUCAUGUUUACAAUGUUUACUGAGGGAAAAAUGUGUGAGAUUGUUUGUGCUUCAGAAUAAUCAAAAGGCACUUGCAAAAAGAUCACAUGCCGUCAAGCACAAAUAGUUCAUGUAGCUCUGGAAAGACAGAGAACAUUUCCACUUGUCAGCUGUAAUCAGCGGUUUGUGAUGAUAUCAAAUGCUUCACACACACACACAAUUAUGAUACGUGAUGUUUCAUCUUGUUUUCUCUUCCGGCCUCCUUAGUGCCUGCCACUCUUUUUCCCGGAACGUGUGAUUUAUGCGCGAGGGGGUGCGCGUCCUGACACAUUAUCGGCACACCUGAGGGUGUGCAUAUGUGUGCUGAGGACGCGUUUACCCUUGUUGUCAACAUGAUUUAGGAAGUGUGUGAGUGAGCAGUAAUGGACGAGGAGUGUGGAUGUUUGAUCCAUGUUAAGUUUCGGGGAGAGAUGAGCUUAGACGUGUAAUGUAAACAGAACAAGCGCGGAAUGAUAAUCUUUACUUGAGGGUAGACGUCUACUGAGAACAGCAUGCGACACACUGCGCAUCUGUAGUAGACCCGGUGAACGUAUUUGAUAGUGAACAUUUUCAUGGUCACUUCAUAGAGUUCGUUAUUCUUUAUUUGGAAUGCGGGUGGAGUGAUGUAGAGGCGACUUAAACAGCCCCGUUGGAGACCUGUCCAUCACAGUAAGCCCCGCCCUUACCGCCAUACUCUGCUUUACGGCCUAAAUGGACCAUCAUUUACUAGAUGAACAUCAUGCUGCAUUGAAGAAGACUUGAAACCACAGAUUGAGACCAUAAAUUCAUGUUCACAAUGAGUCAUUUCCUCAUAGAUGUCUAUGGGACCAGAGGAGUCGCCCCCUGCUGGUCAGAACAGAGAAUGCAGCUUUAAAACAUCCGUCCUCGGCUUCGGUUUCGACGAGGGCCCGCCGCUUGCCGUCACCGUGCACGCGUGUGAGAGGGUGAAUGCAUUCAGUGAAGUUGCUCAUGAGUGUGAGAAACCACACGCGUGUGCUCUCGCUCUUGUUCUUGUUAAGCGCCGUGUGGCUCCGGGCCCCUCGUGUGGUCUCCAGCACAGCCUCUGCUCACCGGCUGCUAUCAUCUGCCGGCAUGACCACACACCACCUCCUGGG